UAUAUUACAUGUACUGUAUACAUAUAUGCGUACUCGAUGAAUCAGCUACACUCAAGGAAUUCCAUCGACGGCUUUGUUUACGAGGGGGACUAACCUUAUCGUUGGAUGAAUUUAGCUAGUGAUAAGAGACAGGUUUUUGUCCUCCUGCGGCAUUUAAGGUGGCACGUGUUAAGUGUCCUGGUGGGGCUCUGCCGUGUGUAUUAACAUGUAUGCGCAUAUAGUCAAUAUACGCCUUGGACGAGCACGUGCGUAGACACGCGAUAAUCAAUUUCAUUAUGAGACAGUGAUAACAGGUGGUCGUGUCAUGAGAACUUUUUAGGGUGUAAUAAUAUUAUGGAAUUUAUAGAUUUUCAUACGAUAAAUCGAUCGAGGGUUGUGGAGGAUAAUGAAAAAAGAAAAAACUUUUGGAUAAAGAUUCUUCACGAUGACAAGACUCAGUUGACGAUGGUUUUAUGUACUUUCCCUUGUCGAUGAUCAGUUGGGCAAAAUUUUUGACGUUGAAUAGUCGAGGAUGCUGGCGAAGGGUGGGAGCAAAAAAGAUCUGUAAUUUUUUUUAUCACAGUCGUUUCGUAAAUAGAUGACUCAUCAAAGUCGAACUAUAUCGUGUAUUGACUAUACAGAGAAAGCUCAAUAUUCCUAUGUGACAAGUCAAAUAUAUUUUUCGUUCGACGCCAUUGAAUUGCCUUUGGCCGCUGUAUUGGGACGUUCAUUAAUGAACAAAUAUGACAUAUAUUAAUCUUUACCGUUGAAUCAUCCUGUCUACUAGAGGUUGAGAACCAUUGGAUUUUAUGGUACCCGUGUAAAUUGAAACUUGCUACUUCGCGUAUGGCGACUUUCCACGUUGGAAAUACGACUCGGGGGACUCAAGUGAGUCCCUACUGGAUUAUGUGUACCAAUAUAUGUAUAUACAUAAUGUAUACAUGAUACUCCAUACGUCAAGCCAUUGACCUCAACUGGAUGGUACUUAAUUUUACAUGAACACUUUGUUCGAAGCUGAAUACUUCUGCAGGUAUUUUAAUGAAACUCUUUGACAGGAUUCCUAUGUGAGCGACAAGGCAUUCCUCCUUUUAUCGACCUUUCAAGACUCUCAGUCACGUGGUGUACAGAGAAGUAGCCACGUGUGUACCCGUAUACACAAUUACUGGAGAUUAGCAAGGAUCCCCAGUAGAGAAUUUUAUCGCUGUUCUUUUAUGAUCCUCAUUUUUCGUACGAACCAACAGAAGUCCUCGACCUAUCGACUUGGCUCGUAGAUGACUUGUCCCAUUUUCGAAAUACAUCCCUGAGGAUAUGAUAGCCUAAGGGCUUCUUGCUUAAGAACCAACCGGUGACAGCACGAAAGUACAUUCAUGAAAAAAAUGAGGCUUCGAUUUGAGCAUCCCCGAAUUUGUAUGGUAGUCUGAAGACACGUGAAGAUUAAGUCAUACAUAAUACAUCAAUUAACCCAGGAAUGGUUGCGUGAUUUUGUUCUCCAUUUGAAAAACAUUGAGUUGGGGUGUCUUAGACACUUCACGCCCCUAUUUCCGGGCUAAUGUAUUUACAGAGCCUUUCAUAAGACUAUGGCAUUAGAUGAUGUAUGUACAGCAUAAGUAUUUUUUAUCAGUUUACUGUUCAUUUUUGGUAAAAAUAUUUUUUUUAUUUGUUACGCUAGUAUUUACAUAAAUUCAUUGUUGGGUUUAGGAAACAUUUUCUUAGCUCUUUAAGGCUUAUCACAAACGUGGAUGUCUUCAUGAUUUGUUGUAGUAAACGCAACCGCAAGAUCCUUUUCGAAUAACAGCACUGUGCUACUUGACAUAAUAAUGUCGAUAUGAAUAACGCUUUACGACAUACAGGAUGCGUGAUUCAUUUAUUUAACUUUUAUCCCUUUAACCGUUAUGUAUACCACUGUCAAAGUCUCUCUAAUGUUCUUUUCAAUACUGAUAUAUUGACUAAAAACUAAAUUGGUCAAUAAAUCUUGUAAAGAAAAACAAAAAGAAGUUUGAAUGCUCUUACCAAGAAACUUAAAAACUGUGUAGAAUUAAAUGUAAAAAUUAUCUUGUCACACUCGAUUGUACUUAAUGACGAUUGUCGUUCGUUAAUUUAUCAUUUAACGCAAGAUACAACUCGGUGAAAGUAUCCAGUCAUUGUGUUAUGGGCAUAGGUGAGGCAAUUACAGGCACGAUUAAAUACGAUUAGACCAAUUAGAAAAAAUAGCUGAUCUCGUUACGCUAUUAACGUUGUAAAAUAGUUUCAAUUACGAAUAUUUCUAGCACGUAGUUCUCCCAACAGCAUCCGACACUUCAUUUCGUCUCGACUUCCUUGUAAAGAAUUAACAAGUAAUUUCUACCAAGUGCAACUUUAUGCGUUCAUCUUAUUUUAUGCCUAUCAUAGAAAUUUUAGCAUUCGAAAGUCCCUUUAAUCAAACAGCAACAUAACCUUCAAUUUUUGGUUCUGACAUUUUGCUCGUGCUGCAAAGCGCAAUCGUUAUAUUCUUUUGCUAACCUGUCGAGAAUUUUUUUCUGGAAACUUUGGAAUUACAGGAUCUCGUGGAAACGUUAUCGAAAGGUGAAACACAUAUCGUUCUUCUUACUACCGGCGUUUGUCCAUUUUGCAAAAACUACGAGACAAGAUGGCCGUCCGAAUGGCGCCAACACAAAUUAGAAUCCAGACUCUGCCCUUUUGAGUCAGCUUGGUGAGCGUGGGUGAUACAUGUUCCUCGUAUAAUUCGAAUAAAUUCAUAUAUAGAAAUGCAACUUCUAGGUAUGUAUGACCUUUCAAAUAAAAUUUGUAUAUAGUCAGCCGAUCUAGCAGCUGUAAAAACUCAAUCGCAAUUCAUGUUUUACUUGAUUGAACGUACGACCCAUUUGAAUCAAUUUGCGAUAUUUAACCCCCUUAUAUGUUCACGGCACAUGUGCCUUGUAAAUUACAAGAGCAUACAAGUUCCACAAUAUAUGCUUAUCAUAGCGAUAAACGUUUCCGGAUAAUGUGUUUUGCAUGAGACAUAAAAGCAAAAUGCUUAUCUUUUUUAAUCGUUACUGACAAAGAUACAUGAUUUUCCCGAAA
Molecule: long non-coding RNA, 3039 nt
Organism: Cephus cinctus (wheat stem sawfly)
Lineage: Eukaryota; Metazoa; Arthropoda; Insecta; Hymenoptera; Cephidae
Exons: 5
Source: RefSeq, a predicted model, not a curated record